CUCCAGACUCCUACGGGAGGCAGCAGUGGGGAAUAUUGCACAAUGGGGGAAACCCUGAUGCAGCGACGCCGCGUGAGCGAUGAAGUAUUUCGGUAUGUAAAGCUCUAUCAGCAGGGAAGAAGAUGACGGUACCUGACUAAGAAGCCCCGGCUAACUACGUGCCAGCAGCCGCGGUAAUACGUAGGGGGCAAGCGUUAUCCGGAUUUACUGGGUGUAAAGGGAGCGUAGACGGCCAGACAAGUCAGAAGUGAAAGCCCAGGGCUCAACCCUGGGACUGCCUUUGAAACUGCCGGGCUGGAGUGCAGGAGAGGUAAGCGGAAUUCCUAGUGUAGCGGUGAAAUGCGUAGAUAUUAGGAGGAACACCAGUGGCGAAGGCGGCUUACUGGACUGUAACUGACGUUGAGGCUCGAAAGCGUGGGGAGCAAACAGGAUUAGAUACCCUAGUACU
RNAcentral lists this ribosomal RNA (448 nucleotides) under uncultured bacterium. RNAcentral describes it as "bacterial SSU rRNA". It matches the Rfam family "Bacterial small subunit ribosomal RNA", at positions 329 to 794 of the family's 1533-position model. The record is from RNAcentral.